AUAUCGUCUCUCUACAAUCACAUACAAAAGCAUACCUUUCCAAUGAACACUAUACUCCUUAUUUAAUAUCGUCUAACGAUAUGAAAUGAAUAACUGCAAAUACUCUCUUUCAAUCCAAAGGUUUCUUUUAUUCUUCUUCUGUUCCCUCCUCUUCUGUUACUUCCUCACUCUCUUCCUUUGCUUCUUUACCCCUCCUCUUACGGUAAUAUGCCUUUCGGUACCUAUCAAUACUUCCCCCAACGAAAUCCAGCUUGCCCUCAAGCUGGUAAUCAGGAAAAUGAGUGAUGAAAUCCUGAUAAUACAGCCAUGAAUUUUCCAAUGAAGAUUUCCCAACCCACUUAACCAAUAACUCCAGUUCACCCUUUGCAUCAUAACGCUUCUCCAAUACAUCUUCUGGACUAAUCGGUUCUGCAGCCUCCGUGAUACUCCCUGGUGGUAACGCAUCACAUUGCUCCUGCGAACCCAAGGCUAACUUCAAUUGGGAAAUAUGGAACACAGGAUGGAUCUUUGCAGCUGGAGGUAAUUGUAACUUAUAAGCUGUGUUUCCAAUGCGCUCCAACACUUUGUAUGGGCCAUAGAAUUUCGCUGCAAGUUUCUGACAAACUCUAUGAGCCACAGUCUUCUGACGAUAGGGUUGUAGCUUAAGAAAUACCAUGUCACCAACCGCCAACUGAACAUCUCUCCUUGACUUAUCGGCUUGAUUCUUCAUUAUCUCCUGAGCACGAGUAAGUGUUUGUUUUAAACUGAUCAAUACCUCAUCCCUUUCCAAUAAUGCCCGCUCCAGCUCAAAGUUCUUUGUAGAACCCUGUUCAAAACGCAGAAUAGGAGGAGGAUCACGGCCAUAGACCACUUUGAACGGAGUUGUCUGAAUCGACUUGUGAAACGUCGUGUUAUACCAUAGCUCUGCCCAUGCCAUAUAAUUGUGCCAAGUCCGAGGGUGAGAAGACGAGAAACAUCUCAAAUAUGUUUCCAAACAACGGUUGAGCACCUCAGAUUGACCAUCCGUCUGAGGGUGAAAUGCCGUACUAUACUGAAGCUUAGUCCCAGCCAAACGGAAAGCCUCUGUCCAAAAAGAACUCAGAAAGAUCCUGUCUCUAUCUGACGUGAUGCUCUUCGGAAAACCAUGUAAACGGACGAUCUCAGACACGAACUUCUUGGCUACAUCCAGUGCAGAGAACGGGUGUUUAAGGCUGAUGAAAUGAGCAAAUUUGCUUAAACGAUCGAUCACCACCAAUAUGCUGUUAUAACCAUUAGACCCCGGAAGCCCCUCAAUGAAGUCCAUAUUGAUGUCUUCCCAAAUCAUCUCUGGAAUCGGUAAUGGUUGAAGCAAACCGGCUGGAGAGAGAGUUGAAUGUUUGUGUGUUUGGCAAAUACCACAAGCCGCCACAUACUCUUGCACCUGCUUGUACAUUCCAGUCCAAUAAAACGAACACUGAACUCUCUUCAAAGUUUUCAAAACACCUGAAUGACCACCGAAUUUACUGUCAUGAGCCUCUCGCAAUAUCACUGAAAUGAAUUUUGAAGUCUUAGGAAUCACCAAUCUUUUCUUUGACCACAAUCUCCCUUCUAUCACUGUAUACUUCUUAGAGUGCAAUUCUCCUUUCUGAAUCUGCAUGACCAUUGUGCUUAACUUCGUAUCGUCUUGUAUUUCCUUAUACAAAUCUUCCCAUUGUAAAGCUGUUGGGACUGUCAAUGAUAGUAACAGUGAAGAGACAGACAUACUCCGAGACAAGCCAUCUGCUGCCUUGUUUUCCGGUCCCGGUUUAUAGAAGAUGUCAAAGUCAAAUCCCAAUAGCUUUGUUAACCACUUUUGAUACUCCAAAUUUACCUCUUUUUGCUCCAACAAAAACUUCAAGCUCCGCUGAUCCGUGUGAACAUGAAACUUUCUACCAAGUAGAUAGUGUUUCCACUUUCUCACUGCCAUCACGAUAGCCAUCAGUUCUCUUUCAUAAGCUGGUUUCAGUUGCUCCCGUGCUGUCAGAGCAUGGCUAAAGAAAGCGAUGGGCCUCUUGUUCUGCAUAAGCACAGCGCCUAACCCGAAUCCUGAGGCGUCUGAUUCGAUCACAAAAACUUGACUGAAGUCUGGUAACGCAAGUACUGGUGCCGUUACCAUUGCAUGUUUCAACUUUUCAAAAGCUUGCUGAGCUUCAGUAGGCCAAGAGAACUGAUCCUUCUUCAGCAGUGUGGUCAAAGGACGAGCAAUACUUCCAUAAUCUCUUAUAAACUUCCGAUAAUAUCCAGUUAACCCAAGGAAUCCUCUCAACUGCUUAACCACCUUGGGUAUAGGCCAUAUAUUCAUAGCAUUAGUCUUUGCAGAAUCAGUAGCUACGCCAUUAGCUGAUAUUAUAUGGCCUAAGUAUUCCACACUCGGUACUGCAAACGUGCAUUUCUUUUGAUUAGCAUAUAAAUUCUGCUCCCUCAACACUUCUAACACUUGUCUUAGAUGAUUCUUGUGAUCUGACUGAUUCUUGCUGUAGAUCAAUAUGUCAUCAAAGAACACAAGGACAAAACGGCGGAGGAAUGGUUUAAACACCUUGUUCAUGAGUGCCUGAAAAGUGGCUGGAGCGUUGGUCAAACCAAAUGGCAUGACCAGGAACUCGUAAUGUCCUUCCACUGUCCGGAACGCUGUCUUAUGAAUGUCUGCUUCCACCAUCCGUAUUUGGUGAUAGCCUGAGCGUAGAUCAAGCUUUGUAAAGACCGUAGCCCCAUGUAACUCGUCGAGUAACUGGUCUAUGACAGGAAUAGGGUACUUGUCUAACACGGUUACUCUGUUCAAAGCCCUGUAGUCCACGCAAAAACGUAGAGAACCGUCCUUCUUCUUCACUAGUAGUACAGGGCUGGAGAAAGGACUGGUGCUUGGUCGUAUGAUGCCCGUAGAUAACAUAUCAUUCACCAUCUGUUCCAUAGCCACCUUGCUGGCAUGAGGAUACCGAUAAGGUCGAACAGAUACUGAAGAUACUCCUGGUUGUAAGUUGAUUGCGUGUUCUUGUCCACGAAAUGGUGGUAAGGCAGUUGGUACUGCGAACACAUCAACAAACUCCUGGAGUAUUUGGGAGAAUUGCAAACGAACUUCUGGAAAUGGAGAUGUUGCUAUAGAAGAAGCAAGAAGCACUUCCCUUCCUAUCUUGCAGCUUGUAUAGACCGGUUUCAAUGACUUGAAAGAGAACUUAGUGCCGUGUAGCUCUUUCUCGCCUAACAAGGUCACUUUGUUUCCUUCAUAGACAAACGAAAGGACCUGCUCCUUCCAGUCCACUUCGCAAAUGCCUAAGGUUUCAAGCCAUUGAAUACCAAGUAUCACAUCUACAUUCCCCAGUUCAAGAGAGAUGAAGUCACUUGUGAAGUUGGUUUGAUUUAGUUGGAAUGAAACUGAUCUGCAUACUCCCAUUGCAUUCACAGUCACUCCAUUACCCAACAACACGUCCAAGCUACUGUCAGCAUAAACUUUCAGUCGUAACUUGUCCACAACCUCAGGUGAGAUGAAGUUAUGUGAUGCUCCGCUAUCAAGCAUGACAAUCACCUCUCUGUUAUUUAUAAAACCUCUCAUCUUCGUAGUCUUCGGAGAGUCAAUGCCCAAAUAAGAAUUCAGUGAUAACGUGUGUAGUACUUGCGGAUUCUGUUGUUCUUGUUGAUCUUCCUCUUCGUUUGAGUCAAUAACCUCAAGCUCUAAUCCGUUGAUCACUGUAAGUACUCUUAGCAUUCUAUUUGGACAUUCCAUUCUGUGAGCUGGAGACCAAGGAGCUUUGCAUUUGAAACAGAUCUUCUCUUUUCUCAUACGGUCAAGUUCUGCAUCUGAAUAUUGUUGCCUUGGUCUCAAUGUGUUUCGUUGUGGUGCUUAAUUUUCUUUGUUAGCUCCAGCUUCUAGCCGUGGUUGAUCGCCGCUUUGCUUUGGAGUGAAACUUGCAGUUUUAACAUUAUGUGAUUGGCGCUGAUAUGCUUUUUGAAUGUCACCUCCUGCCGCUGAUCCAAUCACCUUGCAGAAAGUAGUUUUCUGCAUCUUCAACACUGCUAGUUUAUGAUUCGUUAAACCCACUGGUUCCUUCAUUCUGAUUAUCUCUGGUUUCAAUCCAUUGAAGAAAACCUUUAUCAAAUUUUUCUCAUCAAUUCCUGUUACUUGAUUUCUCAGAGCCUCAAACUCGUUGACAUAGUCUACAAUGUCGCCUUCUUGUUGUAGACAGAACAAUCUCGCUGCAAGAUCAUUAUCAAUUGGACCAGCAAAUCUCUCUAACAUCCUUUCUGUAAACUGAGCCCAACUCAGAAAUGGAUCACUGAGCAUUUCUCCGUUGAACCAAUUGAGAACAGGACCCUCCAAGCUCAAUGAUACCAACUGUAAUUUAUCCUCUUCGUCAUAGUUACCAAUUCUGAAGAACCUCUCCACCCUGGAAAUCCAGUCAAAUGGCAAAGGACCAGCAAACACAGGCAUAUCCACUUUUCUCAACAUCUUAUCUCGAUUUGUUAACGCAUUGUGGAUUCCCCGAUAACCUAAAUGAGUUUGAUCCAGAUCUGAAGUUGCGAUCGGUACCUGAUCAUGAUGAUCCAUUGAAGAAGACGCAAUCCCUUUGCCAGGCCGUUGAUUGAUCACAGAACUAGCUUCGAUCCGAGCUAGUGUGGCCGUUAUCGAGGACAUCUGACUCUCCAAUGCUCCCAAUCUGACCGCUGAUUCCGAACCCAUCGUCGCGAUUUGAUUCUCCAACGAUCCCAGACGCUCCGAAGUAGCUUUGUCAGCUCGCGCAAGCUUAUCGCAACCGAUUCGCAUAUACUCGAUUUCAUCUUCCAUUCGUCGCCAAACCGUCUCUUUCUGCAUCCCGAAGGUCGUCGUCGCCUCCGAUUCAACUCCGAUCCCCGUAUCUUCCAUCAAUGCUGUUACACGUGAGCUCGAUCAAGUUUCGCCGAACCAAUGAUAGACUGAAGUUAUCUAUUACUUGUAAAUCCCAAACUCGUGUAUUGAAUAAGAAUGAAGAAGUGUUUACAGCUUUGUAUCUCAACAAUGAAUCACUCUCAUCACGAGUUCAUCAUCAUCGACAGUCUCAUAGCGACUGGAAACAGAGGACUCAUCUCGUCUCUCUACAAUCACAUACAAAAGCAUACCCUACCAAUGAACACUCUACUCCUUAUUUAAUAUCGUCUAACGGUAUGAAAUGAAUAACUGCAAAUACUCUCUUUCAAUCCAAAGGUUUCUUUUAUUCUUCUUCUGUUCCCUCCUCUUCUGUUACUUCCUCACUCUCUUCCUUUGCUUCUUUACCCCUCCUCUUACGGUAAUAUACCUUUCGGUACCUAUCAAUACUUCCCCCAACGAAAUC
Molecule: long non-coding RNA, 5297 nt
Filed under: Brassica napus (rape)
Lineage: Eukaryota; Viridiplantae; Streptophyta; Magnoliopsida; Brassicales; Brassicaceae
Description: long non-coding RNA (BNAP_LNC013095)
Source: RNAcentral